GCCCAGUGAAAAUUUUAACGGCCGCGGUAUCCUAACCGUGCAAAGGUAGCGUAAUCACUUGUCUUCCAAAUAAAGACCAGUAUGAAUGGCUAAAUGAGGACAAACCUGUCUCCUACAACCAAUCAGUGAAACUGAUCUCCCAGUACAAAAGCUGGAAUAACAACACUAGACGAGAAGACCCUGUGGAGCUUAAAACACACCUAGUACAAACAAAUACUAGCAUAAUUUUAAGUUGGGGCGACUUCGGAAAAAAACAAAACUUCCGAGCACAAAACCACCAGUUUAAACCGAGGCAAACAGGCCAAAGCCAAAACUUGACCCAGUCCACACUGACCAACGAACCAAGUUACCCCAGGGAUAACAGCGCCAUCCUCUUCAAGAGCCCAUAUCGACAAGAGGGUUUACGACCUCGAUGUUGGAUCAGGGCACCCCAAUGGUGCAGCCGCUAUUAAAGGUUCGUUUGUUCAACGAUUAACAGCCCUACGUGAUCUGAGUUCA
This 498-nucleotide ribosomal RNA is filed under the name Lerista storri. Its description in RNAcentral is "partial 16S ribosomal RNA". It matches the Rfam family "Bacterial large subunit ribosomal RNA", at positions 1861 to 2613 of the family's 2925-position model. Lineage: Eukaryota; Metazoa; Chordata; Lepidosauria; Squamata; Scincidae. The record is from RNAcentral.